Mesocricetus auratus (golden hamster) is the source of this 1550-nucleotide long non-coding RNA. RefSeq lists it as uncharacterized. The record is from RefSeq and is a predicted model, not a curated record. The transcript has 4 exons. NCBI's taxonomy places the organism in Eukaryota, Metazoa, Chordata, Mammalia, Rodentia, Cricetidae.
CCUAAGUAGUGGGAUUUGUCUUUGAACUCCUGCUUCUCUUGUCUUAAUUUCCCAAGUUCAGGAAUUGUAGAUGUGAGCCACCACACCCCACUGUCCCUUCUGGAGACCCUGCCAUGCACGGACCACAUUCUCCAAGGUCCUGCCUACUGGCCCUGGGGCUGUGGACCCCCCCUGCCUGUGAGGCCUGCCAGCAUGCGACCCGUGUGAACACUGUGACUCUGUUUCUAGCCGCCUCUGGGCCUCCUGGCUCUCAGGCUCACACUGAGGUGGUGGUUCCCUGGAGGGCGCUCACAGACAGGGGGCCUUGUGGGGCUGCUGUUCUGCUGCUGUUGUUACUGGUGGCCCUAAGCGUCUGGGUGGCAUGUUCCCGAGGAGACCCAGGGCCACCAAUCCCCGGACAGGUAUCCUGGGGGGGACGAAGGGGAGGACGGGGGUCCCCAGACACUGCAGGUUUUGCCCGCUUAGGUGACCUCUUGAGCUGACACCUAGGUCCUGGACCCAGGAAAUGGUUUGAGAUUGGGAUGAAGAAAUCGUGGGGACUUUUUCCAACCCGGGCUUCCAGGAUUCCCCAAUGGGUGAGUCUUGCUGCCCGGAGCCGGGGCUUUCCUGCCCCGGGCCGAGGAAGGCAUGUUGACCUCCUCAGCCAGGACACAAGGACGUGUGUCUGGUGCCAUUGCUCCUGAGGAAGGGACAGUUCCUGAGGACCCUCCCUGGGUCAUGUGGUCCCUGUCCUCUCCACCACGCCCCUUUCUUUUCCCGGUAGUUAAUAACGGAAACUUCCAUGUUGCCUUGGAGAAGGUGAACGCCAAUGUGAGGGUGAGGCCACAAUGGAGGGGUUACUUAGCAACCCUCCCAAACCCUCCAUCUGCCUGGGACCAGGCGGUGACUUCCCUCAGCCAGCUCCUGUGUGUGGCUGAGCGUCCGUCUGUGACAGGUCCAUACCCAAAGGCUGAGGUGGCUUCCCCGCCAUCAUCCUGAGCCCCCAGGGGCCGCUUCAGCACUCCUCCACCCUACCCAGGCCUGCAGGACUGAGCCCAUUGUGCGAGAACUGGUUCCGGCGACAAGAUGUCCCAAGAUGAUAAAGAAAAUUGGGAGCCCCCCCUGGCCAUUUCGCAACAGCUGUUCAUUGUUUGAAGAGGCACUUCUCCCAGGAAGUUCCAUCUUCUGGUGCACCGGGGGCUGGAAGCGCUGCUCCUCCGUCUCCACCUCGAUGAAAUGCUGCUGCUGCUGCUGCUGUCUAUGGCUCCAGCCCAAGAGGACAAGGAGGAAUCCAUCCGGUGGGCCCAAGCGAGCGCAGAACCAACUCGCCGCCCUUCGCCGGUUGCUGAAUUUCUACGGGCAGGCAUGGGACUGUACUCAUGGAACCCCCGGCCGGCCAGAGCGCUGCCUGAGAGCAUCCUGCCAGGUGACAGGGCAGACCAGCGUAAUGCCCGAACCUUUCAGCUGUAACCUCUGAGCCUGGAGCCCUCAACCCCCUUUGCCAGGACAGGGAGUCAGCAAGUGUCUAGUUCCCCAUAUAAAUCCAAUAAAUCCGCUUACUAUAAACAAAA